This is a non-coding RNA of Macaca mulatta (Rhesus monkey), 1789 nucleotides long. Lineage: Eukaryota; Metazoa; Chordata; Mammalia; Primates; Cercopithecidae. The record is from RefSeq and is a predicted model, not a curated record.
AUGAGUACCUUGUAACAGGGGACUCAGGAAGCUGCCUCCCUGCUUCUGCUAUCUGAGGAUGCAUUGAAAAGACGUCUUCUAUGAAGCAUGAAAUGGGCCCUCACCAGACACUGGAUCUAUCAGUGCAUUUACCUUGGACUUCCCAGCUUCCGGAACUAGCAGCUGUGUACCCACAGGAAGCACACAUUUGGCUCUACUCCAUCUGACAAGUUUUACAAGGUGGGCUCCAUGAAGAAGGACAGAGAUGGAUCAGCACUGCUGAUGAUAUGAAAGACUGAGCCUCUAAGAGAACCAACAACUUUGCCAAAGUCUCUCAGAAUGUGGAACAUUUGGGAUACAAAUUCGACACUGGCUGACUCCAGAACAAAUUUCAAAGCGCUUAUUCAAAACUCCAAAACAAUUUUGGAAAUGUUGAAAAUAUUUCAGUCCUUUAAACACCAGUGCCUAGACAGAGCUUAGACACUGAAUUUGUGGACAAACAUAGACUGAGAUGAUUUUUAGCAGGUUGGAGGCAAUGCCAUAUCUGGUUUCAUACCCCUUCAAAUUUUAUCCACAUUCGAAUUCCUAAGUGUUCAGUUCUGGUGAACUAAAUAGGAGGGGCAACUCCAGUGUUACUUUAUCAAAUAAUAGAUUGAUCCGGUGCUGACAGAAUAAGCUUCAUGAUAAGUAUCAUGAAGCGUAUCAACAUGAAAAUCACUGAGGAAGAACAAAUGUGGCACAAAAGGAUGCACAUUUUCUGUCACUCCCCUGCCCCUAACUACAAUUUUCAGAAAACAGACUAUGAAUAUAUCAGUAAUACAGAAAUAAGUCAGAAGUGGGAAAAUUGGCCUGGUUCCUUUAAAGCUCCAAGUUCACCAUCAAGUCUCUAAGUCUUAAUGUCAGUUACUAAAAUCAGUUUCCUCAUUACCUUCAUGCUGCUUCUUAAUUUUAUCACUCUCAUGUACACUUUAAGAAAAUGUUGAGGAAACUCCUGCCCUCUGUUGGGAACAUUCCCCAUCUACACAAUGUCCCAACAAAACACAUUUUAAAUGGUUCACACUGGCUUACCAGCCAUCUCUCAAGAUUAAUAGUUUGCUUUCCAAACCUCCCUCAUCUACUAAAAUUACAACAAAAAACAAAACAAAACAAAAAAACCCGAAGUAGCACAAAGCCUACAGAUGAUAGAAAAUAGCAGAUAAUUUUCCCCUUUGCUCUAAAGUCAAACAGCGAGAUAUAUAGUUACAUGAAUCCCAGAAAGCGUACAGCCCAGCAGUCUGCCCCACAGAGCAGUCAUUCACUUAUCACCCACAACUGACAGACAAAGCCCACAGAAAUUCAGUGUUUUCAAGCUGAAGGAAUAAAUGAAUGAAUGAAAGAAAUGAAGACACGAGUAAGGUUUCUUGUCCACUAGAACACUGUGUCUUUUUUCUGCCGUUCCAUACUAUAUGGAUGUCACAACGCAGACAGGGAAGACUAGAGAUAGUUUUACAAAUAGUUGGAAAUGAGAAAAUUAGACUUGUGAUUUUAUUAUAAAAAUGAACAAACAAGAUAAAAUUUCCUUUAUGACAUCAUAAGUGCAUUUUGAAAUAAAACAGUAGAAUUCGAUUGACUUGAAAUAAGACAUCUCUACUAUAUUCUUGAUUUGGAAUAAGGCAGCUACGAUAUAUGAUUUACUUGCCAACAUGUAGAAGGAGUGCUUAGUGCAUUCUGAUUUUCGAACUGUGAUGUUCCUUUGAACUUUUCUCUCUUGAGUUCCAGAGAAAAAACUUCGUGAUAUUUGCCUUAGUGAAUCUAGGGUGACACGGUACUG